This 341-nucleotide unclassified non-coding RNA is filed under the name soil metagenome. RNAcentral describes it as "partial contains 5.8S ribosomal RNA, internal transcribed spacer 2, and large subunit ribosomal RNA". The stretch from base 1 to 120 matches the Rfam family "5.8S ribosomal RNA", at positions 35 to 154 of the family's 154-position model. The record is from RNAcentral.
GAUGAAGAACGUAGCGAAAUGCGAUAAGUAAUGUGAAUUGCAGAUUUCAGUGAAUCAUCGAAUCUUUGAACGCACAUUGCGCCCUUUGGUAUUCCAAAGGGCAUGCCUGUUCGAGCGUCAUUUGUACCCUCAAGCUUUGCUUGGUGUUGGGCGUCUUGUCUCUAGCUUUGCUGGAGACUCGCCUUAAAGUAAUUGGCAGCCGGCCUACUGGUUUCGGAGCGCAGCACAAGUCGCACUCUCUAUCAGCAAAGGUCUAGCAUCCAUUAAGCCUUUUUUUCAACUUUUGACCUCGGAUCAGGUAGGGAUACCCGCUGAACUUAAGCAUAUCAAUAAGCGGAGGA